Molecule: transfer RNA, 66 nt
Filed under: human gut metagenome
Rfam family: tRNA
About the family: Transfer RNA (tRNA) molecules are approximately 80 nucleotides in length. Their secondary structure includes four short double-helical elements and three loops (D, anti-codon, and T loops). Further hydrogen bonds mediate the characteristic L-shaped molecular structure. tRNAs have two regions of fundamental functional importance: the anti-codon, which is responsible for specific mRNA codon recognition, and the 3' end, to which the tRNAs corresponding amino acid is attached (by aminoacyl-tRNA synthetases). tRNAs cope with the degeneracy of the genetic code in two manners: having more than one tRNA (with a specific anti-codon) for a particular amino acid; and 'wobble' base-pairing, i.e. permitting non-standard base-pairing at the 3rd anti-codon position.
Source: RNAcentral
GCAAUGGCCAAGUGGUAAGGCUUCAGAUUCUGAUUCUGACAUGCGUGGGUUCGAAUCCUACUUGCC